GUGAAUAGUGUUCUCUCAUGUUAAUAAUAAUUAAGUUUAGAGCACAAAAAAGUUAUUAUUAACAUGUAAUUUAUUUAUAUACAAGAAAAAUAAUCCAAACUUAAAUUGCUUAUUAAAAUGUAGCAAAAAGAUAAAUUAUAAAAAAAUAAAAAAUAACUAAGCAAAAAAUAUGCUGGACUGGGGGAUUGAACCUAGAUGCUUGUGCUAAGAAGUUGGCUUUUUAACCGGUUAAUAUUCUAGAACAAUAGUGCUUGUUCUAAUAGUUUGGCGCAAAUGAGAAUGGCUGCGCUAAUAACAAUAGUGUCAUACUGUAUAACCUUGGUGCCAAUGGUGAUGCCACCAAGCUGAUGGUCUACAUUCCAUCAAAAAAUAUUUGAGAAAAUCUUUCAAAAAAAAAGAGUUAAAAAAGACGGACCCCACGCGAAGUCUGUGCCAUACGUCGGCACGCCAAGUACCCAGCGAGGGCGUGAAGCGCGGAGAGAGCUCCAAUCUACCUCUGGCUAGAACAUUCUACAAACCAAGAUAAGUAUUUAGCAUGACUCCUUUUUAUUUUGUACAAAAAAAAACAUAUUGCACUAGAGGCAAUGGUUUUUGCCAAAAAAAAAUAUAAUUUUGAAUCUAGAAGUAUUAUUUACUCCUAUGGGAUAUAAUCAGAGUAGCAUUGAUGAGAAGAUCACCUCAUGGUAGUUCGUCUGUUUAUUAUAGGUAUGAGAAGAGUAUUUUGAUGAUGAAAAACUCAAAUAAAAUAAAUUUUAUCCAUUGAUUUCUGUUUAGUAUAUAUCGUUAUUUACCAGGAUUCAAUAUAAUAUUAGAUAAACGUUC
This 822-nucleotide long non-coding RNA is filed under the name Sorghum bicolor (sorghum). RNAcentral's name for it is "long non-coding RNA (SBIC_LNC015727)". Lineage: Eukaryota; Viridiplantae; Streptophyta; Magnoliopsida; Poales; Poaceae. The record is from RNAcentral.